GCUAUUCAUUCGCCGGCAUUUGGAAACUAGGGCUCCAAACUGGAGGGCUCCGGCAGGACAGGCAGAUCCCUCACAGCGGAGGCAGAGCACUACAGCAACUACAACUCCAGUCCCAUACCCCAGAGAACUCUUCUUUGAGGACACUCAACCACAGCUCCUUCCUUCAGGAUAUUAAGAUCAGCACCUUGGAUCCCAUCACAGAUGUGAUUCCUGCUCUAGCAUUCCAGCCUUUGAGAUUCCACAAGGGCGACCAAGCAGAAAAUCUGUGGCAACAAACAACUGUAAAUUGUUGAAAGCUGUGUGAACAGAUUAUCUCAAACUAUGUUAACUAUUUUCACCACUUUACUUUUAUUUUUGUUUCUAAUACUUUAUUUUUUGCACAGUUUCUCAUAGCUCCUGUGUUUGUACUUAAAUUUUUGCAAAACAGAAUGUUUUAUUUAACCAUUGUUUUUAUGUAAAUUUUGUCAUAAAGAGCACAGCCUGCAAAUCACAGAAUACAGUCCUAAAUGGACAGUACGCUAGCUGAAAUAGGCAAUAAAACAACUAGAGCUUAACCAUAUUCUAUAAAGUGAAUGAACAUUGUCCACAACAUAAAAUGUUCUGUAAUAGCACACAAAGUAUGAAUGAAGCAGACCCCAUUCUGUGAAAACACAGUCCCCACACUUAAAAUAUUUCAUGAAAUAAUCCAUAAUAUUUUCAAGACAUAAUCCAUUGAAAGUUAUCCAAAGCAUAAUAAAAACAUAUGGUACUAGAAUUCAAAAUUAGCCCCCGUCCUUAAAAUAGGAACACAAAAUAUUGUUAAUCACAUGCCCUAAGUGACUGUCAUUUUGGAGAGUAUAUCCCAGUGGCUGUUCAUAGGGCUCUAAAAAUCCAGACUUUUGUCUCUUUUUGCUCUGCCAAAGAUUGUACAACAUACAGCAUGCAGUUAUAGUUUAAGACAGUUACGGCUCAGCAGCCUCUCUGAGGCAUGAGGCAGCACCAUCUGACUAUCAUCAUGGAGCUGCUUACAGGGCAAUUACAGUAUUUAUGUGUAUAGCAGACAACACUGGUCACAAGACAGUCCCCCAAUAAUUAGAUUCUAUAUAUGGAAAAUGUAUAUUUUUUUUAUAAUUUUCCAGGUAUAGAAUCUAAUUAUCAGAGGUUUAUCUGGAAUUUGUUCCCCCCCCCUCCCCCCCCCCCCACCUCCGCAGCAAGGAAAAUGAAUCUGGGGGAUCAUGUAGCGCUUUGCUUUCUGCUUUCCCCCAGCUUUUUCCCCUGGCAGCCACUUCCCCCCUCCUUACUAUUAGACCAUGCUCUCUCUGAGAACAUGGAAGUGAGGAGCAAAUUUGAAAGCAAUAACCUUGAAAUUAAACAUAGAUGUAGUGUUUUACAUAUAGUACACAUGCAUUUAAUUGAUCCAGAAUUGAGGCAAGUUACCUUUUUCUGAAAUUGCUGCAAGUUUUAAAACAGGUACCCCAUAAACACUUUUGAGCAGCACUUGGGUACCUACUUGUACAGUAUGCAUGUGUGCGCUUCAGAUAUCACCCCAUAAAGGAUCCAUGUUCUAAUUAGUCCCCACUCAUGACUGGACCAGGUGUUUUUAUCACAAGACCUGGGAUACUCCAAAAUUUUAUUAUGUAGAUUAGGUGCAGGCCGGACAAUCUGAUCUAGCUUCACUUCAUGGAUUAUUGGGGCCACACUAAUCAUAUGCACCAGGUUGAGAGGGGGUGGCAGGGGGGAUUCUUAGUGAACAUUAUUCAAUGUCAUGUCUCACCAUAACUUGAAAAAAGAGUCAGCAGUAAUGGGGACUGUGUUAAUGGGCACUGCCAUAUGUCUUAUUCACCUGGGCUACAUUAACUGAUUCUUGUGGUAGGUUCCCAUCAGCAUGGUUGCCUGAUGUGGGCCAUAUGUUUUAUAGUAAUGCUCAGUGUUGGCUGCAUUUAAACAACUUCAUAACUGGUUUCCAUUGCUGAGCACAUGCUGCCUUUCACAGCAGUUUAAUGAAAAACAACAUGCUUAGUGAGAUUUCCUUGUAUGCAGUCAUAAGAUAUCAGGAUUUUUUUCUCCAUACCAAUUGGGGGGAGACCUCAUCUUGUAUGCAAGUAAAUCUAGUAAAAAGUUAUUUUCUAUGA
Molecule: long non-coding RNA, 2111 nt
Organism: Alligator mississippiensis (American alligator)
Lineage: Eukaryota; Metazoa; Chordata; Crocodylia; Alligatoridae
Exons: 2
Source: RefSeq, a predicted model, not a curated record